UCCCUUUUUGUCCAGUGGUUAGGAUAUUGUCUUUUCAUGUCGAAGACACGGGUUUGAUUCCCAUAAGGGGUA
This 72-nucleotide transfer RNA is filed under the name Sorghum bicolor (sorghum). It matches the Rfam family "tRNA". Rfam says of the family: Transfer RNA (tRNA) molecules are approximately 80 nucleotides in length. Lineage: Eukaryota; Viridiplantae; Streptophyta; Magnoliopsida; Poales; Poaceae. The record is from Rfam by way of RNAcentral.